GCGAGACUGCUCUCGGGUGACGAGCGGCGGACGGGUGAGUAAUGUCUGGGAAACUGCCUGAUGGAGGGGGAUAACUACUGGAAACGGUAGCUAAUACCGCAUAACGUCGCAAGACCAAAGUGGGGGACCUUCGGGCCUCAUGCCAUCAGAUGUGCCCAGAUGGGAUUAGCUAGUAGGUGGGGUAAUGGCUCACCUAGGCGACGAUCCCUAGCUGGUCUGAGAGGAUGACCAGCCACACUGGAACUGAGACACGGUCCAGACUCCUACGGGAGGCAGCAGUGGGGAAUAUUGCACAAUGGGCGCAAGCCUGAUGCAGCCAUGCCGCGUGUAUGAAGAAGGCCUUCGGGUUGUAAAGUACUUUCAGCGAGGAGGAAGGCGUUAAGGUUAAUAACCUUAGUGAUUGACGUUACUCGCAGAAGAAGCACCGGCUAACUCCGUGCCAGCAGCCGCGGUAAUC
Molecule: ribosomal RNA, 457 nt
Filed under: Klebsiella ornithinolytica
Lineage: Bacteria; Pseudomonadati; Pseudomonadota; Gammaproteobacteria; Enterobacterales; Enterobacteriaceae
Description: bacterial SSU rRNA
Rfam family: Bacterial small subunit ribosomal RNA
Source: RNAcentral